Molecule: ribosomal RNA, 253 nt
Filed under: uncultured bacterium
Lineage: Bacteria
Description: partial 16S ribosomal RNA
Rfam family: Bacterial small subunit ribosomal RNA
Source: RNAcentral
UACGUAGGGGGCUAGCGUUGUCCGGAAUCAUUGGGCGUAAAGCGCGUGUAGGCGGCCCGGUAAGUCCGCUGUGAAAGUCGGGGGCUCAACCCUCGGAUGACGGUGGAUACUGUCGGGCUUGAGUACGGAAGAGGCGAGUGGAAUUCCUGGUGUAGCGGUGAAAUGCGCAGAUAUCAGGAGGAACACCGAUUGCGAAGGCAGCUCGCUGGUACGUUACUGACGCUGAGACGCGAAAGCGUGGGGAGCAAACAGG